Molecule: ribosomal RNA, 497 nt
Filed under: uncultured bacterium
Lineage: Bacteria
Description: partial 16S ribosomal RNA
Rfam family: Bacterial small subunit ribosomal RNA
Source: RNAcentral
GAUGAACGCUGGCGGCGUGCCUAAUACAUGCAAGUCGAGCGAACAGACGAGGAGCUUGCUCCUCUGACGUUAGCGGCUGACGGGUGAGUAACACGUGGAUAACCUACCUCUAAGACUGGGAUAACUUCGGGAAACCGGAGCUAAUACCGGAUAAUAUAUUGUACCGCAUGGUUCAAUAGUGAAAGACGGUUUUGCUGUCUCUUAUAGAUGGAUUCGCGCCGCAUUAGCUAGUUGGUAAGGUAACGGCUUACCAAGGCAACGAUGCGUAGCCGACCUGAGAGGGUGAUCGGCCACACUGGAACUGAGACACGGUCCAGACUCCUACGGGAGGCAGCAGUGGGGAAUCUUCCGCAAUGGGCGAAAGCCUGACGGAGCAACGCCGCGUGAGUGAUGAAGGUCUUCGGAUCGUAAAACUCUGUUAUUAGGGAAGAACAAAUGUGUAAGUAACUAUGCACGUCUUGACGGUACCUAAUCAGAAAGCCACGGCUAACUACGUG